RNA transcript from Aethina tumida (small hive beetle), 1159 nucleotides. RefSeq lists it as uncharacterized. NCBI's taxonomy places the organism in Eukaryota, Metazoa, Arthropoda, Insecta, Coleoptera, Nitidulidae. The transcript is spliced from 3 exons. The record is from RefSeq and is a predicted model, not a curated record.
UUCAAUGUAAAAUUUCAGUGAGAAAGGUUGUGAAAAAUUUUUUGUGAAAUGAAAGUAACCUUGCAUGUAGUCAGUACAACCGGCUGGUCUGUACUGCAAAGCCACGUUAUCGACAUCAAACAUGUUGAUUUGCCAGUGUUUGAAGAAAUUUUAGAAUCCAUUCAUUGUCUGUAUCCAACGUUGCAAGAAGACCAUUACGAGUUAUUUUGGCCGUAUUCCAGAAAAGACUAUUUACAUAUCUACAACAAUAAAAUGUACGCCACAACAUUGAAACUUAUGGUGUUACCAAUUAUUAUCAUGCUCCUUUUGGAUGCAGAAGACCAUCACGAUUGUGUCGAUGGUUACAGAAUUAUUAGGAUGUUCGACUAUUUGGACGAAAGGGAAAAUGCGAAGAAACUGUUGCUCUCGUAUUAUCUCAGGAUACCUGAAAGAGACAACACCAGUGAAACUAACAUAGCGGCGUUCCGACAACAACUCGAUAACACAACGAUAUGCUGCAAUAAAAAGAAUAUUUUUGAAUAUGCUAUAAAAGAUCUAACACAAAUUAAAUGUUACACUAUGGAUAAAUUUUUUGAAUGCAACAAUCGAUUAAUCGCCACAAGAGGAAGGAUCUGUAGUUAAUGUCUUUAGAGGGGCUUAGAAAACCGACCAGAAUUGUCAACAUAAAUAGUGUACAAGGACCGUUUUAGAACAGCAGUUGAAAUUAAGAAGGAACUAUGGCAUGUUAACAUUUCUGUACAUACAAUUCAUCGUCCUCUGAGAGAAGACAACUUACUUGGUUGAAAACCUCCGAUGGAAAUCGUCCAUUUCCGUGAAAAACCAUUACCAAGUAUUGGAAAUGUUUGGAUGUGCUUUUCUGGGACACACUUGGCAUCACAAUUGAUAGUGAUUUCAAGCAUAUGAAAAAAGUAGUGAAAAAAUGUUUCCAAGACUAAAAUGGUCAGUGCCUCCCAACCCCACUGAGAACCUUUGGGAGAUGGUGGAUAAGGAAAUUCGAUAAACCCAUAUAGAAAUAUUUAAAAUUACCAUAAUUCAAUUCCAAAACAGUAUAUAAACAUCCUCAUUUGCUCUAGGGAAAAUAGAGGCAUAGAAGAACAUUAUUAAGCAAAAAUUAUGAAAAUGAAUUUGUUUCUUUAGUGUUGCUCCAUCCUUUUGUAUG